UUUUUAAAUUUUAUAAUGUUUAAAUUUAAUUUUUAAUGAUAUUGAUUGUUACUGGGAGUGCUGUUAGUGGCUUCAUAAAGCCUCAGGUUGUUGCAUGUGAUCAUUUAUUUGGUUUAAAAUUGUUAAUUUUCUCGUGUAAAAUUUUUUAAAACUUUUGGGAAGUCUAAUUUUUAGGGAAGACUCUGUCGAAAUUUUUUUUAAAUUUAUUCUUUCCUCUAAUUUUUUUAAAUUUAGUUUUUAAUGAUAUUGAUUGUUGCUGGAAGUGCUGUUAGUGGCUUCAUAAGGCCUCAGGUUGUUGUAUGUGAUCAUUUAUUUGAUUUAAAAUUAUCAAUUUUCUCUUGUAAAUUUUUUUUAAAAGUCUUGAGAGAUCCAAUUUUUAGAGGAGAUUCUGCCAAAAUUUUUUCAAAUCUUAAUUUAAUUAGGAGCUUAGUUUCUUAAAAUAGUUUGAAGAUAAUAACAUUAGUUAUAUUCUUUAGGAGGUGACAUAUGGAUCGUAGUUGGAUGAAUGUUAGACGAACGAGUAACAAGUAUGAUAAUGGGGUGAAAGAAUUUUUGGAAUUUGCUAAGAAAAAUGCUGUUGACAAUAGUGAAAGGUUCUAUUGUCCUUGUGUUAAUUGUUUGAAUGAGAGGAGACUAGGUGUUGCUGAAAUAAGAGAGCACUUAGUUUGUGAUGGGAUUUGCAAAAAUUAUACAAUAUGGAUUUGGCAUGGUGAACGAUUGAAAAAUUAUAGUAACACAUCUCAAUGUGUGGGAGUUGAUAAUCUUGAUGAUGAAGUAGAAAUGAAUGAAGAUCGAUUAGAGGACAUGAUCUGUGAUGUUGGGGAAGAGGCUUUUGAAUGAGCACAUGUGUAUGAUAACUUGUACACUAAUUUUAGUUUGUUAUCUGGGGUGUUAAAACUAGUUACCUUAAAGGCAAGAGUUGGGUGGAGUGAUCAAAGUUUCACAUGGUUGUUAGAGUUACUUCAAAUAAUGUUUUCGAAGGGCAAUGUACUACCAAAUCGUUAUUAUGAUGCCAAGAAGAUCUUGUGUCCAAUGGGUAUGAAGUAUAAAAAAAUACACGCAUGUCCUAAUGAUUGUGUGUUGUACAGAAAAGAGCUUGAAGGGGAGGAGAAGUGUCCGAAAUGUGAGGUACCACGGUACAAAGAGAAGGGGGCUCCUACAAAAGUCUUAUGGUAUCUUCUAAUUAUACCAAGGUUCAAGCGUUUGUUUGCAAAUACUAAUGAUGCAAAGAACUUGAUGUGGCAUGCAAAUGAGAGGAUAUCUGAUAGAAAACUUUGACAUCCAGCCGAUUCUCCUCAAUGGAAGAAAAUUGAUCAAUUAUUUCCCGAAUUUGGUAAUGAGCCAAGGAACUUGAGGCUUGGACUUUCUACCGAUGGAAUGAAUCCUUAUGGUAGUCUUAGUAGUAUACAUAGUUCAUGGCCUAUUCUUUUGGUGAUUUACAAUCUAUCACCUAGGUUGUGCAUGAAAUGGAAGUACAUGAUGCUAUCCAUGUUGAUUUCGGGACCAAAACAAUCAGGAAAUGAUAUUGAUAUUUACCUAAGACCUCUGAUUGAAGAUUUGAAAGUGUUGUGGGAGGUAGGUGUGGAAGUGUUUGAUGCAAAUCAGAAGGAGAAUUUUAAGUUACGUGCUAUGAUCUUUUGUACUAUAAAUGAUUUUCCUGCAUAUGGAAAUUUGUCUGGUUAUAGCGUGAAAGGUCAUAAAGCUUGUCCAAUUUAUGAAGAAAGCACAAACUACCAUCAACUUCAAAAUGGAAGGAAGACAGUCUACCUUGGCCAUCGAAGGUUUCUUAGAUGAGAUCACCCAUAUCGUAGAUUGAAGAAAGCUUUUCAUGGUCACCAAGAACAUAAUGAUGCUCCGGAUGCUUUGACUGGGGAUCAAGUAUAUGAACGUGUGAAAAACAUUAAUAUUGUCUUCGGUAAGACUAAAAAGAAUACUGGUGCAAAAAGCAUAUGAAAAAAAAUGUCUAUCUUUUUUGACUUCCUAUAUUGGCGCAAUCUUGAAGUAAGGCAUUGUAUUGAUGUUAUGCAUGUGGAGAAAAAUGUGUGUGAUAGUAUUAUUGGAACGCUUCUGAACAUACCAAGUAAGACUAAGGAUGGUGUGAAUGCAAGAUUGGAUUUGAAAGAAAUGGGAAUACGGGAAGACUUACACCCAAGACCAGAAGGUAAACGAACUUAUUGUCCCCCAGCCUCUCAUACAUUGUGCAAAUAUGAGAAAACAAGUUUUUGUGAGUGUUUACAUGGAAUCAAAGUUCCUUCGGGAUAUUCUUCAAAUAUUAUGAAGCUUGUAUCUGUGAAAGAGUUGAAACUGGUAGGCUUAAAAUCUCAUGAUUGCCAUGUCUUAAUGCAAUAGCUAUUACCUUUGGCUAUUCGAGGCAUAUUGAAAAAAGAUUUAAGACUUACAAUAACUAGACUUUGUUUUUUUUUCAAUGCUACAUGCAGUAAAGUUAUUGAUCCCUGUAAACUGAAAGAGUUAGAACAAGAAGCUUGUACUAUCUUGUGCCAACUUGAGAUGCACUUUCUUCCUACAUUUUUUGACAUUAUGGUUCACUUAAUAGUGCAUCUAGUAAGGGAGGUAAAAUUGUGUGGCCCUGUUUAUUUGUGAUGGAUGUACCCAGUUGAGAGAUACAUGAAAAUACUGAAAGGGUAUGUCAGAAAUCCAUUUUGACCCGAAGCAUCAAUAGUUGAGAAAUAUGUUGCUGAAGAAGCUAUGGAGUUUUGUUCUGAUUACUUGUCAAGUACAGAAUCAAUUGGACUUCCUAAAUCUCGUCAUGAGAAAAGGCAAUAUGGUCAAGGCACACGUGGAGUAUUAGUGAAGAGCAUGAAUUAUGAUGAAUUACAAGAAGCACAUUUAUAUAUCUUGAAUAAUAUUGAUGAAGUUAAAGAUUACAUAUCUUCUCAUAAAGAACUUUUAAAGGCAAAAAAUUAUCGAAUGAGAAUGACAGAACAAAAGUUAUUGAAAGAGCAUAAUAGGACUUUUGUGAAUUGGUUCAAGCAGAAAAUUUUGAAUGAAAGUGGUGUUUCUGAAACAGUUAAAUGGUUGGCUGGAGGUCCUAACUUUGAUGUUAUAUGUUGGAGUGCCUAUGAUAUUAAUGGGUAUUCUUUUUAUACAAAGUCUUUGGAUGAGAAGAGUACGGUGCAAAAUAGUGGAGUUAUGAUAAUGGCUGAAGCCGUACACUUUUCUAGUUCAAAAGAUAUGAAACCUAAACUAGCAUCUAGGACUUACUUUGGGGUUAUUGAAGAGAUUUGGGAGGUUGAUUAUACAAAAUUUAGAGUUCCUGUUUUCAAAUGCAAGUGAGUUGAUGUCAAUAGUAUUCGUGAUAAUAAGUUUGGAUUUACAAUGGUUGAUCUUAAAAAACUAACUUUUGGAGAUAAGCCAUUUAUUAUGGCAGACCAAGCUAAACAAGUUUUCUAUGUCACGAAUCCAGCAAAUAAAAAUUGAUCAAUAGCACUUAAAGGAAAAAGGAUGAUUGAUAGUAAUGACGAUCAUGAAUCAAAUUUUGAUAUUUCUGAAACUCUUAACUUCUCAAGUGGGCUACCAAUUUUGGAUGUGGUAGAUGAAGUAGAUGAUGAACAUGCCAUAAGAAGUGAUCACCAUGAAAGGAUAUGGGAGAAUAUCCCUAUAUGAGUUUAGUUUUGAAAUUAAAGUAUGUUAAUUUAGUUCAAUUAAAUUUAUGUUGUGGGAUUAUUUUUCUUAAUUAUCUUAUCUUUGAUUAUUUUUUAAUUAAUUUCAUUUAUUUGAAUUAAUAAGAAUAUGGAGAAUUAAGGUGAUAACACUCAGAGUCAAUCAAUUGGUGAUGUUGCUCCUAGUGGGGAGCUAAGUCAGGGCACCCCUAGUGAGGAGCCGAGUCAGAGCCAGUCUGUAAGGAGGGGGAGACGUGGCACACGAUUAAGAGAUCUGACAUUAAGUAGGAGUGCUGGGCGUAGGUUACCAAUUCAAUUUGACCGGAGAUGGAAUCUGAUAGGGCCACAUAAAGCCAAGUUUGUUAGUUUUCUUGGCCUCCUAUCGCGUACCAAGCCUCCUAUUGUGUUUGAGGACUGGCCUGAUGUGUCAAAACGUGUGAAGGAACAGAUUUGGAAAAGUAUUCAGAGUCAUAGACAACCGGUGAGGACGAACUUGUGCGGUCUAUAUGUCAUGAGGCACAUGCUCAAUAUUAUCACAUUAGGCAUGACCGAAUUUACAAAAGAGAUGUUUGACAAUUCGGAUGCAUUUUUUAAAGCUGAAAUUGAAGACAUCUGCAUACGUUGGGCAACCUAUUUUGUGGAGAACUUGUGAGGUUUUUUGUUACUUUUAGACAUGUUUUAAUUUUGAUAGUUGACACAAUUUAAAUAAUUAUUAGUUUUUCUAAUAGUUAAAUAGUUUUGUAUAGUUGAUAAAUACUUGAUAAACAAUUGUAAAUGAAUUGAGCUGUUUGAUUUGGCAAUUUUUAUGCAUAGGAAUGGCAAUUUUGACAAUUUAGACAAUUAUUAGUUUUUUUAAUAGUUAAAUAGCUUUGUAUAGUUGAUAAAUACUUGAUAAAAAAUUGUAAAUUAAUUGGGCUGUCUGAUUUGGCAAUUUCUAUGCA
Molecule: long non-coding RNA, 4561 nt
Organism: Prosopis cineraria
Lineage: Eukaryota; Viridiplantae; Streptophyta; Magnoliopsida; Fabales; Fabaceae
Exons: 3
Source: RefSeq, a predicted model, not a curated record